This 704-nucleotide long non-coding RNA is filed under the name Ricinus communis (castor bean). RNAcentral describes it as "long non-coding RNA (RCOM_LNC001667)". Lineage: Eukaryota; Viridiplantae; Streptophyta; Magnoliopsida; Malpighiales; Euphorbiaceae. The record is from RNAcentral.
CCUCUAACCAAACACCCACUUUAUCAAAUUUGUCCAGAUCCUACUACAAUUUCUUUUCUUUUUUUUUUCCAGCAAAAUUCUCCCCGACAUAUUUCCAUUUAUUAUUAUUUUUUUUAUUUUUCCUUUAUUUUCUUCUCCUCUCUUCUUGUAAAAAACCCACAAAAUUCCAAACAGCCUUCAAGAAAACACCAUUACCGGCUGCCACCUACUACCAUUGACCAUCAGCAUCGCCUUCGACCACCAACCAACAUCAAGCCACCGCCCAGCAGCCCCCUAUCACCGGAAACAGCCUUAACAUGUGCUGCCUGCGCGUCUACAGAAAUUCUAUGUGUGCAGCCUAUUUGCGCAUCUCCUCUGCACGCACCACCACCAACACUACAAUCCCUCUAGCCGCCGCCCGACCACUCCUCAUCGACCACCAACCUCCGGCAGCCCUAUAGCAGCUCCGGCAGCCCCAAGAAUAGUUCAUUUUGAUUGAUUUUUAUGCAAUUUUCUUGAGAAACAUAGGUAUUUAAUAUAAAAAUCCACUUUUCUUUUAUGUAUUCUUGAUUUUCUUGCACAAAAGUUUUAGAAUUAUUGUGAUUGAUGAUGGGUAUAUGCAAUUUUGGAUUAAUUCCAUUUUAUCGUAUAUUUUUAGCAAUUGUUGUGUGAUAGUGAUUGACGAUGGUUUAAUUUUUUAGAAUUUUUCUAAAAUUUUUAAUUAU